GGUCAAGUUAUUAAGGGUGCAGGGCGGAUGCCUUGGCACUAGGAGCCGAUGAAGGACGUGAUAAGCUGCGAUAAGCUUCGGGGAGUUGCACGUAAACUUUGAUCCGAAGAUUUCCGAAUGAGGAAACUCACUUAGAGUAAUGUCUAAGUAUCAUUAAGUGAAUACAUAGCUUAAUGAGGGGAACUCAGGGAACUGAAACAUCUAAGUACCUGAAGGAAGAGAAAGAAAUUCGAUUCCGUAAGUAGCGGCGAGCGAACGCGGAUUAGCCCAAACCAAUAAAGUUUUCUUUAUUGGGGUUGCGGACAUAUCAUAACGAAGAG
This 320-nucleotide ribosomal RNA is filed under the name Clostridioides difficile. RNAcentral describes it as "partial 23S ribosomal RNA". It matches the Rfam family "Bacterial large subunit ribosomal RNA", at positions 1 to 321 of the family's 2925-position model. The record is from RNAcentral. Lineage: Bacteria; Bacillati; Bacillota; Clostridia; Peptostreptococcales; Peptostreptococcaceae.